This 397-nucleotide long non-coding RNA is filed under the name Glycine max (soybean). Its description in RNAcentral is "long non-coding RNA (GMAX_LNC004377)". Lineage: Eukaryota; Viridiplantae; Streptophyta; Magnoliopsida; Fabales; Fabaceae. The record is from RNAcentral.
AUGUCGUUCCCCUUCAACCACUCUCACGCCACCCACACCCACCACCGCAGGGACGACGACGACGACGAACGACCCACCGUUUACCCUCCGCCGGGAAACUCCUUCAGCAACCCGCCACCUCCGUUCUACGGCGUCCCUCAACCACCACCCCCUCAGCCGGAGACCCACGUGUUCCAUUCCGCUCACGUGACACCAGGACACGUGUCCCAUGACUUCAACAACUACUCCGCUCCCCCGCCUCCACCCCCUUCCCACCAUCAUCAUGAUCGUCAUCAUGACUCCUUCACCCACGCUUACCCACCUGCUCCCGCUGCAGCUGAUUACCCCGCUCACGGAGGCAGCAGUACCACCGUGCACCACGUGGCUCACGAGUCUCACCACCACACCCCCCAUUCCG